RNAcentral lists this ribosomal RNA (151 nucleotides) under uncultured bacterium. RNAcentral's name for it is "partial 16S ribosomal RNA". It matches the Rfam family "Bacterial small subunit ribosomal RNA", at positions 338 to 491 of the family's 1533-position model. The record is from RNAcentral.
CCUACGGGAGGCAGCAGUAGGGAAUCUUCCGCAAUGGACGAAAGUCUGACGGAGCAACGCCGCGUGAGUGAGGAAGGUCUUCGGAUCGUAAAACUCUGUUGUCAGGGAAGAACCGCCGGGAUGACCUCCCGGUCUGACGUACCUACAAAGC